GUGGGGAAUAUUGGACAAUGGGCGCAAGCCUGAUCCAGCCAUGCCGCGUGAGUGAUGAAGGCCUUAGGGUUGUAAAGCUCUUUCAGUGGGGACGAUAAUGACGGUACCCACAGAAGAAGCCCCGGCUAACUUCGUGCCAGCAGCCGCGGUAAUACGAAGGGGGCUAGCGUUGUUCGGAUUUACUGGGCGUAAAGCGCACGUAGGCGGAUCGUUAAGUCUGGGGUGAAAUCCUGGAGCUCAACUCCAGAACUGCCUUCGAUACUGGCGAUCUUGAGUCCGGAAGAGGUGAGUGGAACUCCUAGUGUAGAGGUGGAAUUCGUAGAUAUUAGGAAGAACACCAGUGGCGAAGGCGGCUCACUGGUCCGGUACUGACGCUGAGGUGCGAAAGCGUGGGGAGCAAACAGGAUUAGAAACCCGUGUAGUCC
RNAcentral lists this ribosomal RNA (425 nucleotides) under uncultured bacterium. RNAcentral describes it as "partial 16S ribosomal RNA". It matches the Rfam family "Bacterial small subunit ribosomal RNA", at positions 354 to 796 of the family's 1533-position model. The record is from RNAcentral.